Molecule: ribosomal RNA, 492 nt
Filed under: uncultured bacterium
Lineage: Bacteria
Description: partial 16S ribosomal RNA
Rfam family: Bacterial small subunit ribosomal RNA
Source: RNAcentral
AGUGAACGCUGGCGGCAGGCCUAACACAUGCAAGUCGAACGGCAGCACAGUAAGAGCUUGCUCUUACGGGUGGCGAGUGGCGGACGGGUGGGGAAUACAUCGGAAUCUACUUUUUCGUGGGGGAUAACGUAGGGAAACUUACGCUAAUACCGCAUACGACCUACGGGUGAAAGCAGGGGAUCUUCGGACCUUGCGCGAUUGAAUGAGCCGAUGUCGGAUUAGCUAGUUGGCGGGGUAAAGGCCCACCAAGGCGACGAUCCGUAGCUGGUCUGAGAGGAUGAUCAGCCACACUGGAACUGAGACACGGUCCAGACUCCUACGGGAGGCAGCAGUGGGGAAUAUUGGACAAUGGGCGCAAGCCUGAUCCAGCCAUACCGCGUGGGUGAAGAAGGCCUUCGGGUUGUAAAGCCCUUUUGUUGGGAAAGAAAAGCAGCAGGUUAAUACCCCGCUGUUCUGACGGUACCCAAAGAAUAAGCACCGGCUAACUUCGCG